UCGAGAAUCUUCCGCAAUGGGCGAAAGCCUGACGGAGCGACGCCGCGUGGUGGAUGAAGUACUUCGGUACGUAAACACCUUUUAUGAGUGAAGAAGUAUAUUGACAUUAGCUCAUGAAUAAGGGGCUCCCAACUCUGUGCCAGCAGGAGCGGUAAUACAGAGGCCUCAAGCGUUAUCCGGAUUCACUGGGCGUAAAGGGUGCGUAGGCGGUGUUAUUAGUCGGGUGUUAAAUCCUUGGGCUCAACCCAAGAAUCGCAUUCGAAACGGUAACACUAGAAGUAGUCAGAGGUACAGAGAGCUCUCGGUGUAGGGGUGAAAUCCGUUGAUAUCGAGGGAAAUACCAAAUGCGAAGGCACUGUACUGGGGCUCACUUGACGCUGAGGCACGAAAGCUAGGGUAGCGAACGGGAUUAGAUACCCCCGUAGUCC
This 428-nucleotide ribosomal RNA is filed under the name uncultured prokaryote. RNAcentral describes it as "bacterial SSU rRNA". It matches the Rfam family "Bacterial small subunit ribosomal RNA", at positions 355 to 796 of the family's 1533-position model. The record is from RNAcentral.